UCGACCUCAGAUCAGACGAGAUGACCCGCUGAAUUUA
This 37-nucleotide ribosomal RNA is filed under the name Euoplos annulipes. RNAcentral's name for it is "partial 28S ribosomal RNA". RNAcentral also lists the same sequence under 5 other names. Lineage: Eukaryota; Metazoa; Arthropoda; Arachnida; Araneae; Idiopidae. The record is from RNAcentral.